This 505-nucleotide ribosomal RNA is filed under the name uncultured bacterium. RNAcentral describes it as "partial 16S ribosomal RNA". It matches the Rfam family "Bacterial small subunit ribosomal RNA", at positions 28 to 507 of the family's 1533-position model. The record is from RNAcentral.
GACGAACGCUGGCGGCGUGCCUAAUACAUGCAAGUAGAACGCACAGUUUAUACCGUAGCUUGCUACACCAUAGACUGUGAGUUGCGAACGGGUGAGUAACGCGUAGGUAACCUGCCUGGUAGCGGGGGAUAACUAUUGGAAACGAUAGCUAAUACCGCAUAAUAUUAAUUAUUGCAUGAUAAUUAAUUGAAAGGUGCAAUUGCACCACUACCAGAUGGACCUGCGUUGUAUUAGCUAGUAGGUGAGGUAACGGCUCACCUGGGCGACGAUACAUAGCCGACCUGAGAGGGUGAUCGGCCACACUGGGACUGAGACACGGCCCAGACUCCUACGGGAGGCAGCAGUAGGGAAUCUUCGGCAAUGGACGAAAGUCUGACCGAGCAACGCCGCAUGAGUGAAGAAGGUUUUCGGAUCGUAAAGCUCUGUUGUAAGAGAAGAACGGGUGUGAGAGUGGAAAGUUCACACUGUGACGGUAUCUUACCAGAAAGGGACGGCUAACUACGUG